GACGAACCGUGCGAACGUUUUUCGGAAUCACUGGGCUUAAAGGGUGCGUAGGCGGGUUGUCCAGUCUGGGGUGAAAUCCCACGGCUCAACCGUGGAAUUGCCUCAGAUACUGACGACCUCGAGGGCGGUGGGGGCGAGCGGAACUGUGGGUGGAGCGGUGAAAUGCGUUGAUAUCCACAGGAACGCCGGUGGCGAAGGCGGCUCGCUGGACCUCUUCUGACGCUGAGGCACGAAAGCUAGGGGAGCAAACGGG
RNAcentral lists this ribosomal RNA (253 nucleotides) under uncultured bacterium. RNAcentral describes it as "partial 16S ribosomal RNA". It matches the Rfam family "Bacterial small subunit ribosomal RNA", at positions 524 to 776 of the family's 1533-position model. The record is from RNAcentral.